RNAcentral lists this ribosomal RNA (2752 nucleotides) under Salmonella enterica subsp. enterica serovar Enteritidis. RNAcentral describes it as "partial 23S ribosomal RNA". It matches the Rfam family "Bacterial large subunit ribosomal RNA". The record is from RNAcentral. Lineage: Bacteria; Pseudomonadati; Pseudomonadota; Gammaproteobacteria; Enterobacterales; Enterobacteriaceae.
UGGAUGCCCUGGCAGUCAGAGGCGAUGAAGGGCGUACUAAUCUGCGAUAAGCGCCGGUAAGGUGAUAUGAACCGUUAUAACCGGCGAUACCCGAAUGGGGAAACCCAGUGUGAUUCGUCACACUAUCAUUAACUGAAUCCAUAGGUUAAUGAGGCGAACCGGGGGAACUGAAACAUCUAAGUACCCCGAGGAAAAGAAAUCAACCGAGAUUCCCCCAGUAGCGGCGAGCGAACGGGGAGGAGCCCAGAGCCUGAAUCAGCAUGUGUGUUAGUGGAAGCGUCUGGAAAGGCGCGCGAUACAGGGUGACAGCCCCGUACACAAAAGCGCAUGUGCUGUGAGCUCGAUGAGUAGGGCGGGACACGUGGUAUCCUGUCUGAAUAUGGGGGGACCAUCCUCCAAGGCUAAAUACUCCUGACUGACCGAUAGUGAACCAGUACCGUGAGGGAAAGGCGAAAAGAACCCCGGCGAGGGGAGUGAAAAAGAACCUGAAACCGUGUACGUACAAGCAGUGGGAGCACCCUUUGGGUGUGACUGCGUACCUUUUGUAUAAUGGGUCAGCGACUUAUAUUCUGUAGCAAGGUUAACCGAAUAGGGGAGCCGGAGGGAAACCGAGUCUUAAUUGGGCGUUAAGUUGCAGGGUAUAGACCCGAAACCCGGUGAUCUAGCCAUGGGCAGGUUGAAGGUUGGGUAACACUAACUGGAGGACCGAACCGACUAAUGUUGAAAAAUUAGCGGAUGACCUGUGGCUGGGGGUGAAAGGCCAAUCAAACCGGGAGAUAGCUGGUUCUCCCCGAAAGCUAUUUAGGUAGCGCCUCGUGAAUUCAUCUCCGGGGGUAGAGCACUGUUUCGGCUAGGGGGCCAUCCCGGCUUACCAACCCGAUGCAAACUGCGAAUACCGGAGAAUGUUAUCACGGGAGACACACGGCGGGUGCUAACGUCCGUCGUGAAGAGGGAAACAACCCAGACCGCCAGCUAAGGUCCCAAAGUCAUGGUUAAGUGGGAAACGAUGUGGGAAGGCCCAGACAGCCAGGAUGUUGGCUUAGAAGCAGCCAUCAUUUAAAGAAAGCGUAAUAGCUCACUGGUCGAGUCGGCCUGCGCGGAAGAUGUAACGGGGCUAAACCAUGCACCGAAGCUGCGGCAGCGACACUGUGUGUUGUUGGGUAGGGGAGCGUUCUGUAAGCCUGUGAAGGUGUGUCGUGAGGCAUGCUGGAGGUAUCAGAAGUGCGAAUGCUGACAUAAGUAACGAUAAAGCGGGUGAAAAGCCCGCUCGCCGGAAGACCAAGGGUUCCUGUCCAACGUUAAUCGGGGCAGGGUGAGUCGACCCCUAAGGCGAGGCCGAAAGGCGUAGUCGAUGGGAAACGGGUUAAUAUUCCCGUACUUGGUGUUACUGCGAAGGGGGGACGGAGAAGGCUAUGUUGGCCGGGCGACGGUUGUCCCGGUUUAAGCGUGUAGGUGUGUGUUCCAGGUAAAUCCGGUUCACUUUAACACUGAGGCGUGACGACGAGGCACUACGGUGCUGAAGCAACAAAUGCCCUGCUUCCAGGAAAAGCCUCUAAGCAUCAGGUAACAUCAAAUCGUACCCCAAACCGACACAGGUGGUCAGGUAGAGAAUACCAAGGCGCUUGAGAGAACUCGGGUGAAGGAACUAGGCAAAAUGGUGCCGUAACUUCGGGAGAAGGCACGCUGACACGUAGGUGAAGUGAUUUACUCAUGGAGCUGAAGUCAGUCGAAGAUACCAGCUGGCUGCAACUGUUUAUUAAAAACACAGCACUGUGCAAACACGAAAGUGGACGUAUACGGUGUGACGCCUGCCCGGUGCCGGAAGGUUAAUUGAUGGGGUCAGCGCAAGCGAAGCUCCUGAUCGAAGCCCCGGUAAACGGCGGCCGUAACUAUAACGGUCCUAAGGUAGCGAAAUUCCUUGUCGGGUAAGUUCCGACCUGCACGAAUGGCGUAAUGAUGGCCAGGCUGUCUCCACCCGAGACUCAGUGAAAUUGAACUCGCUGUGAAGAUGCAGUGUACCCGCGGCAAGACGGAAAGACCCCGUGAACCUUUACUAUAGCUUGACACUGAACAUUGAGCCUUGAUGUGUAGGAUAGGUGGGAGGCUUUGAAGUGUGGACGCCAGUCUGCAUGGAGCCGACCUUGAAAUACCACCCUUUAAUGUUUGAUGUUCUAACGUGGACCCGUUACCCGGGUUGCGGACAGUGUCUGGUGGGUAGUUUGACUGGGGCGGUCUCCUCCUAAAGAGUAACGGAGGAGCACGAAGGUUGGCUAAUCCUGGUCGGACAUCAGGAGGUUAGUGCAAUGGCAUAAGCCAGCUUGACUGCGAGCGUGACGGCGCGAGCAGGUGCGAAAGCAGGUCAUAGUGAUCCGGUGGUUCUGAAUGGAAGGGCCAUCGCUCAACGGAUAAAAGGUACUCCGGGGAUAACAGGCUGAUACCGCCCAAGAGUUCAUAUCGACGGCGGUGUUUGGCACCUCGAUGUCGGCUCAUCACAUCCUGGGGCUGAAGUAGGUCCCAAGGGUAUGGCUGUUCGCCAUUUAAAGUGGUACGCGAGCUGGGUUUAGAACGUCGUGAGACAGUUCGGUCCCUAUCUGCCGUGGGCGCUGGAGAACUGAGGGGGGCUGCUCCUAGUACGAGAGGACCGGAGUGGACGCAUCACUGGUGUUCGGGUUGUCAUGCCAAUGGCACUGCCCGGUAGCUAAAUGCGGAAGAGAUAAGUGCUGAAAGCAUCUAAGCACGAAACUUGCCCCGA